ACGGCGAAGCACAGCUUGCUCUGUGGAUCAGUGGCGAACGGGUGAGUACACGUGAGCAAUCUGCCCCUGACUCUGGGAAAGCGCUGGAAACGGCGUCUAAUACCGGAUACGAGCUGCGACCGCAUGGUCAGUAGCUGAAAAGAAUUUCGGUCAGGGAUGAGCUCGCGGCCUAUCAGCUUGUUGGUGAGGUAAUGGCUCACCAAGGCGUCGACGGGUAGCCGGCCUGAGAGGGUGACCGGCCACACUGGGACUGAGACACGGCCCAGACUCCUACGGGAGGCAGCAGUGGGGAAUAUUGCACAAUGGGCGCAAGCCUGAUGCAGCAACGCCGCGUGAGGGAUGACGGCCUUCGGGUUGUAAACCUCUUUUAGCAGGGAAGAAGCGAAAGUGACGGUACCUGCAGAAAAAGCGCCGGCUAACUACGUGCCAGCAGCCGCGGUAAUACGUAGGGCGCAAGCGUUAUCCGGAAUUAUUGGGCGUAAAGAGCUCGUAGGCGGUCUGUCGCGUCUGCUGUGAAAACCCGAGGCUCAACCUCGGGCCUGCAGUGGGUACGGGCAGACUAGAGUGCGGUAGGGGAGAUUGGAAUUCCUGGUGUAGCGGUGGAAUGCGCAGAUAUCAGGAGGAACACCGAUGGCGAAGGCAGAUCUCUGGGCCGUAACUGACGCUGAGGAGCGAAAGGGUGGGGAGCAAACAGGCUUAGAUACCCUGGUAGUCCACCCCGUAAACGUUGGGAACUAGUUGUGGGGUCCAUUCCACGGAUUCCGUGACGCAGCUAACGCAUUAAGUUCCCGC
RNAcentral lists this ribosomal RNA (792 nucleotides) under bacterium C-TJ7. RNAcentral describes it as "bacterial SSU rRNA". It matches the Rfam family "Bacterial small subunit ribosomal RNA", at positions 66 to 872 of the family's 1533-position model. The record is from RNAcentral.